ACUCGAGCGCCAGCGAGAAAGCGUUGCCGCAGGCAACGACCCGAAGGGCGAAGCGCGCAGCGCUGAGUAAUCCUUCCCCCACCACCA
RNAcentral lists this small RNA (87 nucleotides) under Escherichia coli. RNAcentral describes it as "partial RtT sRNA". It matches the Rfam family "RtT RNA", at positions 46 to 130 of the family's 130-position model. From Rfam's summary of the family: This family represents a bacterial cis-regulatory element known as RtT RNA. Lineage: Bacteria; Pseudomonadati; Pseudomonadota; Gammaproteobacteria; Enterobacterales; Enterobacteriaceae. The record is from RNAcentral. RNAcentral also lists the same sequence under 1 other name.